RNAcentral lists this ribosomal RNA (792 nucleotides) under Triticum aestivum (bread wheat). RNAcentral describes it as "partial small subunit ribosomal RNA". Lineage: Eukaryota; Viridiplantae; Streptophyta; Magnoliopsida; Poales; Poaceae. The record is from RNAcentral.
AUGGGUAGAUCCAAUGCUAAUCCUGUUUGGAGCAAGAUCUGGAAGCUAUCUUGUCUGGCAAAGGUAAAAAUCUUCAUCUGGCGUACAUUGCAUGGAACAUUCCCAUGUCGUGUUACGCUCGCCAAUAGACAUGUGAAGGUCCCUCCCAUCUGCCCAACAUGUUCAAAAGGGCUAGAAGACACGAAACACGUCUUGUUUCUAUGUCAGAAGGCGAAAAAGGUCUGGGAUAAUUUGGGUUUGUAUGAGGUGAUCAAUAGAGCCUGUGUUGUUGACCGGGCAGGAGAGGCAGUUCUUGAAAUUUUAUUACUUAUGCCAGAGGAAGAAAUAUCUGUUUUGGGACUUCAGAAUGCACGUGAAUUGAUCGUUAUAACAGCUUGGUAUUUAUGGUGGGAUAGACGUAAACUGGUUCAUGAAGGAAAGUCUCAAGAUGCAUAUCAAUCUGCGAUGGGGGCCCGUGCUAUAGCGGCAAAUUAUGUUAAAGCAAACUCCCCUAAGGCGAUUAGUAAGAAAGGGGGAUGGCUUAGACCUCCUAUGGGUUUUGUGAAGCUAAACAUUGAUGCUUCCUUUGAUCAUGAUCUGCUUAGAGGCACGGCGGGGGCAGUCCUGAGAGAUGACAAAGGAAGGUUCAUUGUUGGCGGAAGUUGGCGACUUGACUGGUGUGCGGAUGUUCUAACGGCAGAAGCAUUGGCACUGAGGUUUGGCCUUACCCUAGCACAGAAGGCGGGGUGCAACCGCCUUAUUGUUAACUCUGAUAAUAUGGAAGUGAUUGACACGAUGAAGAAUGGAGGAUAA